Long non-coding RNA from Heterocephalus glaber (naked mole-rat), 1050 nucleotides. The record is from Ensembl. NCBI's taxonomy places the organism in Eukaryota, Metazoa, Chordata, Mammalia, Rodentia, Bathyergidae.
CCCUAAUCGGCUCUGCUGCAGCAGAGCAGUCUGCAGAAGAUGUUGAUGGAGCCUCAUAAUAUCACAAGCUGCUGAGCUCCUGAUGCUACCCCCCCUGCCACACCUCUGCUGGGACAGCCCAAGGACAUAGGGCCACUGACCUGGCUAGAGGAACCAGAGAAAAUGGUCACUGGGUGCCAGCCAGAAGGGUGGGGCAGACCCUGUGCAACCUAGGGUGCCCCCCAUUCUGUGUGGAGGAGUGCGGCCCCCAUUGAAAUCCCCUUAGCCUUUCAUCUCCUGGAUCCCCUGGUGUGCAGCUCAGGAUAGGUCCCUGGCUUUUAGCAAUGCUACAGCCAGAGGUCAGGCCCCAGGACUCCUCUCACCUUGGACAAGCUGUGUUUCUGGAAGAUCCUUCCUCUGAGCUGGCCUUCCUGGGCAUGAAAGGGACAUGGGUGUUCAGGUGGGAUCUGAGACCUGGAGUGUGUCCCACUGAAGCAAGCAGGUCAGGGCAGUGAGGAUGCUAGCAGAUCUGCCCAAAGCCCCAAGACCGAGGUCUGCUGGAUCCAGCCCACUGAUAAUUCAGUGAAGAGACACAAGCCCACCAGAGCCUGCCUGGGGAGCCUGAUGAGGACACAGUGAGACCAGACUCCAUGAGCCCUUUGUGACAGAGAGGCGCUGGCCAGAGACAAAGGGGUAGGCCACAGUGUCUUUUUCUCUCAUUGUGAGACCUGCCUUGGACCAUGCAGGUGACCCUCCAGGGACUCAAAUCCUGACCAGAAUCGUAGGCUCUGAACACAAACCCUUGUUAUAUCUGUCCCACACCCCAGGGGACAGGGAGCUCUGGGGAUGCUGAACCUCAUCCUACAAUCUCAGCAAAUGGACAGGUCCCCACCACGUUGGAGUGGCCCUCUCACCUAACCCUACCCUGACUAAGCCCUUCCCCUCUUCCCUUCAUGGAGACUUCUCUCCACCCAGGCCCUUAAAGCUCUUCCUGCCAAGACUAGGCAGCCCCAGCCCAGGACAUACAGUUCCAUGUGCCUUUGGGGCCACUGUGGAGUCAGCUAUAUGCCC